UCAAAGAUGGAUGGAGAAUGAAUUGGAUGAAAUGACAGAAACAGGCUUCAGACGGUGGGUAAUAACAAACUUCUCUGAGCUAAAAGAACAUGUUCUAACCCAAUGCAAGGAAACUAUGAACCUGGAAAAAAGGUUAGAUAAAAUGAUGAAAAGAAUAAAGAA
Molecule: long non-coding RNA, 162 nt
Organism: Sapajus apella (tufted capuchin)
Lineage: Eukaryota; Metazoa; Chordata; Mammalia; Primates; Cebidae
Exons: 3
Source: RefSeq, a predicted model, not a curated record